Long non-coding RNA from Amaranthus tricolor (Joseph's coat), 987 nucleotides. RefSeq lists it as uncharacterized. The transcript is spliced from 3 exons. The record is from RefSeq and is a predicted model, not a curated record. NCBI's taxonomy places the organism in Eukaryota, Viridiplantae, Streptophyta, Magnoliopsida, Caryophyllales, Amaranthaceae.
AAAAAAUAUUAUGAUGAGGGACUAUAGAAAAACAAAACCACCAUUAAUAAUAAAAAAAUGUAAAAAAGAUGUAAAAAAAGGAAAACCCUAAUCCCUAACUUCCAAAUUUAUGUUUCUUUCUUCAGCAAUUCGAUGGUCUUGCAGCGCACAAAUUUGAGUGCAUUAAGAUUGCAUGGAGAUCCAAAAGGAUCGACAAAUUCUUAUACUCGCUACUAUGAAUUAUCCACAAAGGAAGAAGAAAAAGAAGAAAUCUAAGUCCCAAAUCAUGAUUCAUAUUUAGUCGGUGAUUCACCAGAAUACCCUCUUUGACAUGGUGCUUGGAGGUGGAGGGAGAGAUAGUUGGAGUAGGCCAUGAUGCCGUGCAGUUAUCCGCGAGGUUCCGAUCUUCCAGAUAUUUGUACGGUCCAUGGAACCCCACCAGAUUCAAUGAUGUAUACCAACACCAGUUCAAGCACCUGCAACAAUGCGGCAGAAGAAGUUGGCAUUCCAUCUUCUUCCUUCGAGAAUCUUGUGGAUGGAACACGUUGAUUCUUGCCUAUAAUUGUUGCAAAUUGAGAAGUAAUAAGAUCUGGAUAUGAUCGAGAUGAUAAGCGCAGUUUGAUGGGCAUCACAACUGUUGAUCUUGCCACAACAUCAGCAGCAGAUGUGUAAAACUGCCGUCUUCUUUUAGAUCUUGUGAGAGCAAACUUUUGUUUCGUUCGAUCUUAGGUUAGGGAAGACAGUUAGAUCAGUCCAAGAUAUAGAACAUUGUUUUAUGUUAUUUGAGAAUCGUAUAGACAGUAACACAAAAUGUAUUCUUGAACAAGGGUUAUUUGGGAAUCGUAUAGACGAUACGUAGAUUGAUUCGAGUCCAAUGUUGUUGCAAACCGAGAAGAAAAAAGAUCUAGAUUUGGCUGAGAUGAUAACAGUACAAGUGUAAACAUGUUAUUUUCUUGUAAACUUGUAGAAUACAUAAGUAAAAGUCACAAAAAAUAAAUUCAUAGCACA